Non-coding RNA from Camelina sativa (false flax), 1000 nucleotides. The record is from RefSeq and is a predicted model, not a curated record. NCBI's taxonomy places the organism in Eukaryota, Viridiplantae, Streptophyta, Magnoliopsida, Brassicales, Brassicaceae.
UUUGAUACAGCUCGCCCUAAUGAAAAAAAAAAUUCUCACUUGAGUGUUCGCCCUAGCCGUCAAAAAAUUUUCGUUUGGCCGGCGAUUGGUGGCUUCCACAUCAUCGUUGUCGGCCCUGCUCCCUUGCGGAUCUACUCCCCGGUGGUUCCGUCUCGCUUCUUCGAUCUAGUCUUAGAGGUCUCAAGUUCCCAAUCUGGUUUGUUUGUCUUGACAAUCUGGCUCAUUGGCUUUGUUCUCGUUGGAUUGGGAGUGGUGGUGUCUUGUUGUUUUUUCGGUUGUUGUGGAGGUGGAUUUGAAAAGUUUUAUUCUUGGAACCUGUCGGCUUUGCGGUGGUGCUGCUUCGUUUAAGGCUUGUACUUAGUCAGAUUUCUGUUUCCACGGCUUGGCUUUGAAAACCCAUAUGGUUCUGCGAUUACGUUGCUUUGUUGUCGGGUUCUUCCUCUGUGGUGGUGUUAAGUGACUUCUAAGGUUUGUGUUUUGUUUAUCCGACUGUUAAGCUAAAUCUGAUUUUCUCUUGGCUUUGGUUCAGCUUCGGUGUGAAGUCCUUUCGCUGGGAGAACAUAAAAGGUUAUCAUUCUUUCAAUGAAGAAAAUGUUCUCAGGGCCUUGUUACCUCGCCCAGUAGGUGAAGAUCCCUUCCUCCCCGCAUCCUUAAAUGAUUUUUUCAAUGGAGCAUUUCAGCAGCUAUAGCUUCGUGUUGUCAGCCUUGGCUGAAGCACGUCAUUGGAGUUAUUGGGUUGAGUUUCAAUUGAAGAUAUAGCGGUAUAGAAGGGGAUGGUUUCUUCAUUUUUAGCUGGUGCUCUUCUUCUCUGUUCUACAAUUUCCUUGUUAAUCUUGUUUGGCUACAGCUUUAAUCCUUCGCUCUCUUGAGUGUAUUGGUGUUUGUCUGUUCUCUGAGCUUUCUUCAUCUGCGGAUGAAGAACUCAUGCGUCGGUGUGCCUACUUCAAGUUUCUCUCCCGACUGCCUUAGUUUUUAGAGUUGAAUCUUAUUAGCUUUUGCA